RNAcentral lists this small nucleolar RNA (135 nucleotides) under Colius striatus (speckled mousebird). RNAcentral describes it as "Small nucleolar RNA SNORA72". It matches the Rfam family "Small nucleolar RNA SNORA72". Rfam says of the family: U72 is a member of the H/ACA class of snoRNAs. The snoRNA gene is located in intron 4 of the ribosomal L30 protein gene in human, mouse and chicken. The record is from Rfam by way of RNAcentral. Lineage: Eukaryota; Metazoa; Chordata; Aves; Coliiformes; Coliidae.
AUGCGAAUAUUCUCGCUGCCCUGAUCCUCCCAUGGUCAGGGCAGGCUAGACAUUCGCUAUAUUAACACUAUGCAUUGUGUCCUCCAGGACUAGGCUGCAGUUCUAGUACUGGCUUUGUAAAUGCUAGUGACAGGU